This 246-nucleotide ribosomal RNA is filed under the name uncultured bacterium. RNAcentral describes it as "partial 16S ribosomal RNA". It matches the Rfam family "Bacterial small subunit ribosomal RNA", at positions 524 to 769 of the family's 1533-position model. The record is from RNAcentral.
UACGUAGGGUGCGAGCGUUAAUCGGAAUUACUGGGCGUAAAGCGUGCGCAGGCGGUUUUGUAAGCCAGAUGUGAAAUCCCCGGGCUUAACCUGGGAAUGGCAUUUGGGACUGCAAGGCUUGAGUGCGGCAGAGGAGACUGGAAUUCCUGGUGUAGCAGUGAAAUGCGUAGAUAUCAGGAGGAACACCGAUGGCGAAGGCAGGUCUCUGGGCUGACACUGACGCUCAUGCACGAAAGCGUGGGGAGC